GCCAGGCGUAGUGGCUUACGCCUGUAAUCCCAGCACUUUGGGAGGCUGAGGCAGGAGGAUCACUUGAGCCUAGGAGUUCAAGACCAGCCUAUGCAACAUAGAGAGACCCUGUCUCUA
Molecule: unclassified non-coding RNA, 117 nt
Organism: Pongo abelii (Sumatran orangutan)
Lineage: Eukaryota; Metazoa; Chordata; Mammalia; Primates; Hominidae
Rfam family: Metazoan signal recognition particle RNA
About the family: The signal recognition particle (SRP) is a universally conserved ribonucleoprotein.
Source: Ensembl